Molecule: ribosomal RNA, 443 nt
Filed under: uncultured bacterium
Lineage: Bacteria
Description: partial 16S ribosomal RNA
Rfam family: Bacterial small subunit ribosomal RNA
Source: RNAcentral
CCUACGGGCGGCAGCAGUGGGGAAUAUUGGGCAAUGGGCGCGAGCCUGAACCAGCAACGCCGCGUGAAGGAAGAAGGCUUUCGGGUUGUAAACUUCUUUUGUCAGGGACACAACAAGUGACGGUACCUGACGAAUAAGCCACGGCUAACUACGUGCAAGCAGCCGCGGUAAUACGUAGGUGGCAAGCGUUAUCCGGAUUUACUGGGUGUAAAGGGCGUGUAGGCGGGACUGCAAGUCAGAUGUGAAAACCACGGGCUCAACCUGUGGCCUGCAUUUGAACCUGGAGUUCUUGAGUACUGGAGAGGCAGACGGAAUGCCUAGUGUAGCGGUGAAAUGCGUAGAUAUUAGGAGGAACACCAGUGGCGAAGGCGGUCUGCUGGACAGCAACUGACGCUGAGGCGCGAAAGCGUGGGGAGCAAACAGGAUUAGAUACCCUAGUAGUC